This 68-nucleotide transfer RNA is filed under the name Marmota monax (woodchuck). RNAcentral's name for it is "tRNA.Ala". Lineage: Eukaryota; Metazoa; Chordata; Mammalia; Rodentia; Sciuridae. The record is from RNAcentral.
GGGGUCAGCUCAGUGGCAGAGUGUUUCCCUAGCAUGUGCGAGGCCUAGGUUCAAUCCCUGGUAUUUCA